RNAcentral lists this ribosomal RNA (278 nucleotides) under uncultured bacterium. Its description in RNAcentral is "partial 16S ribosomal RNA". It matches the Rfam family "Bacterial small subunit ribosomal RNA", at positions 28 to 297 of the family's 1533-position model. The record is from RNAcentral.
GACGAACGCUGGCGGCGUGCUUAACACAUGCAAGUCGAGCGGUAAGGCCCUUUCGGGGGUACGACGAGCGGCGAACGGGUAGGAGUAACACGUGGGUGGACCUCGCCCUCCAGCUCUGGGAGUAAAGCCUGGGAAACCGGGGUACGUAAUACCGGAUAUGACUCCAUGACGCAUGUUGUGGGGUGGAAAGCCUUGUGCGGCUGAGGAUGGGCCCGCGGCCUAUCAGCUUGUUGGUGGGGUGAGGCCUACCAAGGCGACGACGGGUAGCCGGCCUGAGA